RNAcentral lists this ribosomal RNA (492 nucleotides) under uncultured bacterium. Its description in RNAcentral is "partial 16S ribosomal RNA". It matches the Rfam family "Bacterial small subunit ribosomal RNA", at positions 29 to 507 of the family's 1533-position model. The record is from RNAcentral.
AGUGAACGCUGGCGGUAGGCCUAACACAUGCAAGUCGAACGGCAGCACAGUAAGAGCUUGCUCUUACGGGUGGCGAGUGGCGGACGUGUGAGGAAUACAUCGGAAUCUACUUUUUCGUGGGGGAUAACGUAGGUAAACUUACGCUAAUACCGCAUACUACCUACGGGUGAAAGCAGGGGAUCUUCGGACCUUGCGCGAUUGAAUGGGCCGAUGUCGGAUUAGCUAGUUGGCGGGGUAAAGGCCCACCAAGGCGACGAUCCGUAGCUGGUCUGAGAGGCUGAUCGGCGACACUGGAACUGAGACACGGUCCAGACUCCUAAGGGAGGCAGCAGUGGGGAAUAUUGGACAAUGGGCGCAAGCCUGAUACAGCCAUACCGCGUGGGUGAAGAAGGCCUUCGGGUUGUAAAGCCCUUUUGUUGGGAAAGAAAAGCAGCAGGUUAAUACCCCGCUGUUCUGACGGUACCCAAAGAAUAAGCACCGGCUAACUUCGUG